UUAGAGCCCCUACUCAAGGAUGCCCAUUGUUCUGGCCCGAGUGCGUUUUUAGGCCAAAGCAAUGGGAGGAUAAAGGAAGGAGUAACCCGACCUGCAGAUGGUGGAUGGAUGACUGGCUAAAGUGUCUAAGCAGCCGGGGAGGGCGUGGGAGACGGCCAGGCCGGAGGUGGACUGAGCUCCAGGCAGAGUCCUAGAGAUUAGCCCUGAGCUAACAUCCGCCACCAAUUCUCCUCUUUUUGCCGAGGAAGACUGGCCCUGAGCUAACAUCUGUGCCCAUCUUCCUCUCCUUUAUAUGUGGGAUGCUGGCCACAGCAUGGCUUGUGCCAACGUGGGCUGGACAGAGGCAGAAGCCAGCUGGCAAGGGUGCCUGGAGGCUGAGCCCCUUGUGACAUGGAGCAGAAGGGGGACUGGAUGUGUGGACAGAAGCUUUGAAACCUCAGGAAAAGAAAGCAGUCUUUCAGCAAAAGAAUAAUAGCAACAACAAAAGCCCAAAGUCCAGACAAACAUCUCUUAUUUUUCCUUUUUCUGUCUCCACCCAGUACUAUUUUUUUUUUUUUUU
Molecule: long non-coding RNA, 559 nt
Filed under: Equus asinus (donkey)
Lineage: Eukaryota; Metazoa; Chordata; Mammalia; Perissodactyla; Equidae
Description: lncRNA (ENSEASG00005035534.1)
Source: RNAcentral